RNAcentral lists this ribosomal RNA (459 nucleotides) under uncultured bacterium. RNAcentral's name for it is "partial 16S ribosomal RNA". It matches the Rfam family "Bacterial small subunit ribosomal RNA", at positions 338 to 795 of the family's 1533-position model. The record is from RNAcentral.
CCUACGGGUGGCAGCAGUGAGGAAUAUUGGUCAAUGGGCGGGAGCCUGAACCAGCCAAGUCGCGUGAGGGACGACGGUCCUCUGGAUUGUAAACCUCUUUUGUCGGGGAACAAAGGCGCCCACGGGUGGGCGGAUGAGUGUCCCCGAAGAAAAAGCAUCGGCUAACUCCGUGCCAGCAGCCGCGGUAAUCCGGAGGAUGCGAGGGUUAUCAGGAUUUAUUGGGGUUAAGGGGUGCGUAGGGGGCAAGUAAAGUCAGCGGUAAAAAUGCGGUGCCCAACGCCGUACCGCCGUUGAAACUGGGAGGCGUGAGUGGACGAGAAGUAUGCGGAAUGCGUGGUGUAGCGGUGAAAUGCGUAGAUAUUAGGAGGAACACCAGUGGCGAAGGCGGCUUACUGGACUGUAACUGACGUUGAGGCUCGAAAGCGUGGGGAGCAAACAGGAUUAGAUACCCGGGUAGUC